RNAcentral lists this ribosomal RNA (376 nucleotides) under uncultured organism. RNAcentral's name for it is "partial 16S ribosomal RNA". It matches the Rfam family "Bacterial small subunit ribosomal RNA", at positions 527 to 896 of the family's 1533-position model. The record is from RNAcentral.
GUAGGUGGCAAGCGUUGUCCGGAAUUAUUGGGCGUAAAGCGCGCGCAGGCGGUCCUUUAAGUCUGAUGUGAAAGCCCACGGCUCAACCGUGGAGGGUCAUUGGAAACUGGGGGACUUGAGUACAGAAGAGGAAAGCGGAAUUCCAAGUGUAGCGGUGAAAUGCGUAGAGAUUUGGAGGAACACCAGUGGCGAAGGCGGCUUUCGGGUCUGUAACUGACGCUGAGGCGCGAAAGCGUGGGGAGCAAACAGGAUUAGAUACCCUGGUAGUCCACGCCGUAAACGAUGAGUGCUAAGUGUUAGGGGGUUUUCCCGCCCCCCUUAGUGCUGCAGCUAACGCAUUAAGCACUCCGCCUGGGGGAGUACGGCCGCAAGGCUG